GUUUCCUUGCUGAGCUCUCACUCCAAAGCCAAGUCUUCUGCUGUUCGGUGUCUGCAGCUUUGUUUCUGGGUCCAGGCAGUGGGAUGGAGAAAGGAUGGGGGUGUUCCAACAGCCAGCAUGGAAGGAAAGCUGCUUGUUGAUCAAAGCAGGAAUUCCUGGGUUAAAAGCUGAUAAAUGCUGGAAGGAGGCACUUUCUGAGCACAUGGAAGGCUGUGGCAGGUACUUGUCCUGGUGAAGCUCUGCACUGCUCCUCCUGUGCUGGGAUUUUGUAAGGGGCUGCAUGCGCCCUGCUACCUCCCCAUGUACUGCCUUGCACUGUCACCUUGGGAUUGCCCAAAGCAGGAGGAAGCAGCCCUGCCCCAUGCCCAGGCUCUGCAGGGAAGGAACUUCAGCAUGCUCAAACCUUCCUGAUGCUCCAUACAAGCAACUUGGACAGCACAAGCAUAGGCAGACUGCUGCUGGGUGUGCAGAACACAGCGGUGCUGUGGCAUCCUCACGGCAGGCAGUUGACACUUCCCCUCAUCAUACCUCUCCCAGCUGGCCCCAAACUACAAGGUCCUGCCUUUAUGGAUCACUGAAUCCCUGUGCUUUCUUAAUGAACCUGCGUUUAAUGCUUGACUUCUCCGUGUCAUGUUUAAUUACAGCAGCUGUAACUUCCUUGUUGGUUGGCUUGAAAUAA
RNAcentral lists this long non-coding RNA (679 nucleotides) under Coturnix japonica (Japanese quail). Its description in RNAcentral is "lncRNA (ENSCJPG00005003686.1)". Lineage: Eukaryota; Metazoa; Chordata; Aves; Galliformes; Phasianidae. The record is from RNAcentral.